GACGAACGCUGGCGGCGUGCCUAAUACAUGCAAGUCGAGCGGACGAAUCGAAAGCUUGCUUUUGAUUCGUUAGCGGCGGACGGGUGAGUAACACGUGGGCAACCUGCCCUGUAGACGGGGAUAACACCGAGAAAUCGGUGCUAAUACCGGAUAACACGAAAUGUCGCAUGACGUUUCGUUGAAAGACGGCGCAAGCUGUCGCUACAGGAUGGGCCCGCGGCGCAUUAGCUAGUUGGUGAGGUAACGGCUAACCAAGGCGACGAUGCGUAGCCGACCUGAGAGGGUGAUCGGCCACACUGGGACUGAGACACGGCCCAGACUCCUACGGGAGGCAGCAGUAGGGAAUCUUCCGCAAUGGACGAAAGUCUGACGGAGCAACGCCGCGUGAGCGAAGAAGGCCUUCGGGUCGUAAAGCUCUGUUGUUAGGGAAGAACAAGUAACGCAGUAACUGGCGUUACCGUGACGGUACCUAACGAGAAAGCCACGGCUAACUACGUG
Molecule: ribosomal RNA, 498 nt
Filed under: uncultured bacterium
Lineage: Bacteria
Description: partial 16S ribosomal RNA
Rfam family: Bacterial small subunit ribosomal RNA
Source: RNAcentral